GGAUUCUAUUAGUGGUGUCAUGUGUACUAUGCAUAACUACGGCGAGAAGAAAAGAAAGGAGGUAGUUGCUCAGCCCUGCAACCUUGCCCUCCUUAAAUUCGCUUAAGAUAAGAUCCUCUUCUCUUUAAUCUUGCACAUAAAAGCUUUCAGCUUUCAAGUGAAAACAGCAAGAUUCAAAAAUAAAGUUUUGUUUACCACCCAAUCCCCAUAAUAGAGCCAAGAAUUUCCUCACUGCACACUCAAUUCCUCAGUAAGAAUAUAUUCUUGGCUUGCUAAUCCAUUUUUUCUCUUGUAUAACCUCAAUUCAAGCAAGAAUGUCUUUUUGAGGUCAUGCACCUUUUUUUAAGGACUACAAAUUUCUGAAAUUGGAAAACACAAGUCAAAGAGUUGUUUUUGAACACACCCAUCUACUAGAAUGGGAAGAACUCUGUAUGAAAUCAAGCAAAAAUAUGGUUUUUCUAUAAACCCACCUCCUCUGUCUCCUCCCUCUUCAAUCUCAGCUCCUUAUAACAGUUUGAACUAUGAAAAACAAUCAAGUUCAUCAUCAUCAUCUUUUAACAGAAUUAGUCCUGUACUUCUUUUGGUUAUAAUAAUUCUAGCUGUCAUCUUCUUUGUUUCUGGUAUUCUCCAUUUGCUCGUUAGAUUUUUCAUGAAAAGAUCACAUUUUUCACCAAUUUAUCAUUCUAAUAGAUUCCCAGAAACCUCAAGGUCUCAUUCUCUGCAAAGACAACUUCAACAGCUCUUCCGGCAGCAUGACUCGGGUCUAGACCAAGCUUUCGUUGAUGCUUUGCCUGUAUUUUAUUAUAAAGAAAUCGUGGGUUUGAAGGAGCCAUUCGAUUGUGCAGUUUGUCUAUGUGAAUUCUCAGACAAGGACAAGCUCAGGUUGCUUCCCAUGUGCAGUCAUGCUUUUCACAUAGACUGUAUUGAUACGUGGCUUCUUUCAAACUCUACUUGCCCUCUUUGUAGAGGGACUCUUAUGAGCUCCAGUCUUCCCAUGGAAAAUCCAUUGUUCAAUUUUGAUGUUUUGAGGGAAGUAUCAAAUGGAUUCUCUAGCGAUGGAGAGAAUGGGUCUUCCAACGGUCCAAAACCAGGCAUUGUGGAGGAAAGUGUGGCUGAAAAGAGGGUAUUCUCAGUGAGACUCGGCAAGUUUAGAAGCCUGAAUGAGGGAGAACCUAGCGGAGAGAAAGGACAAGGAGAGACUAGCAGAUGUAAUUUAGAUGCUCGAAGAUGUUACUCAAUGGGCACAGUUCAAUAUGUGGUGGGCGAUUCAAAUCUGCAAGUGGCCUUGUCUCGUGAAAGUCUUAAUGGCAGAAGAGGCAAUGAGUGCCCUUCAAUUGAUGGGGAUGUGGAAGACAAGAAAAUUAGAAGCCGGACAACAGGAGAUAGCUUCUCAGUUUCAAAGAUUUGGCUUUGGUCUAAGAACAGAUAUCCAACUUCUUCAAGUACACAUAUAGAUAUGUCUUCGAUUACUGUAAGUCAAUUUGCCUAUCAAUGAUAGAGCCUGCAACUAUAAGAGAUGUAUAUUUUGGCGAUUCUUAUCGAUUCAACAUUCACUUAGCAGGGCCUGUAAAUAUCUUCUUAUAUGUGUUCGUAGCCCAUCUCAUAUGGGGAAUUGUUGCUGGGCAGGGGAGCCUUCAUCGGUUUAUCCACUUGGAUGAUCACCGCCAUCUGAGCAAGCUACGCUAAGGACCGACAUCUAACUAACCUUAAUUAGGAAGCAAUAGGUUAAUGUCUGCAAAAAUCAUCCGUGGCUACAAAGGAGAAAGGGAUUCUUUCUUUAUGUUCUGAAACCUUUGCAGAUGAUUCUUUCUCUGUGUUACAGCUUACAGGAGAUCUCUCUCUAUAUGCUGCAAAAUGUAAUCCUUUUCAAAGUUUCCAUUAAGGAAAAUUUUUAUCACAAGAUUUUUUUUUUGGAAAAAUAAAAUCCAUCGACCAUGAGGGGUACGAAAUAAUCCAAGUUAUUUGAAUUCACUUGUUACAAUAUUUAAGAUAAAUUAUAACUAAUCAUCUCAUUGUAAGAUAAAUUUUCGUCCUAUUGCAA
Molecule: unclassified non-coding RNA, 2041 nt
Filed under: Hevea brasiliensis (rubber tree)
Lineage: Eukaryota; Viridiplantae; Streptophyta; Magnoliopsida; Malpighiales; Euphorbiaceae
Source: RNAcentral